RNAcentral lists this long non-coding RNA (1710 nucleotides) under Homo sapiens (human). RNAcentral describes it as "HSALNT0345160". Lineage: Eukaryota; Metazoa; Chordata; Mammalia; Primates; Hominidae. The record is from RNAcentral.
AAAAGGUAUUUAAGUAGUUGGGCAUGGUGGUGUGGUAGCGCACACCUGUGGUCCCAACUACUUGGGAGGCUGCACCAGGAGGAACGCUGGAGCCAGAGAGGUAGAGGCUGCAGUGAGCUAUGAUCACACUGCUGUGCUCCAGCCCGGGCAACAGAGCAAGACCUUGUCUCAAAAAAAAAAAAUUAAUUUUGAUGUUAAAUGAAAAAGUAAAACAAAUGCAGUGUGCGUGUAUACAUGUAGUAUAUAUGAAAAUGCAUGUACUCCCAGUUGCACAGCCACUGAACAAUUCGAAAAAAAUGCAAUUUUUUUUGUUCAGAAUAGUGGGAUUCUACUGCUUUUCAUUGUCUUUAAACUGUUUUAAGUGUUCUGUAUUGUUACAACGUUCUCGAGUAUUCCAAUGGCUGUUACUUUUAUAAUUAUAAAAGAAUAAGCAUUUUUAAAGAACAGAUAUAUCUUAUUUCAAAAACAAGGGUUUUUCGUUUACCAGAAUAGCUGCAAGAAAAGUUAUAUUAGUUUCUUUGGUGUUUUGAGGAAAGAAUUGAACAUUUUUGCCUUCAGUGGUGCCUUUUUCACCACUAGGACUUCCUUUUCUUCAGACAUUCCCCCUAAUCCAGCGGUCCCCCACCUUUUUGGCACCGUGGACGAGUUUCGUGGAAGACAGUUUUUUUCCACAGAUGGGGAAGGGGAGAUGGGGGAUGGUUUCGGGGUGAAACUGUUCCACCUCAGAUCAUCAGGCAUUAGUUAGCUUCUCAUGAGGUGUGUGCAGCCUAGAUCCCUCACAUGCACAGUUCACGAUAGGGUUUGUCCUCUGAUGAGAAUCUAAUGUCGCUGUUGAUCUGACAGCCACAUCUAACUUGGGAAGGUGGGAGAUGAGGUUCUCUUGCGGAGUGACUAUAGAUACAACUAAUACUUGGAUAUUUGGCAGUUCUAAUAAUAAAACAGGAAUGUUCUUUGGACAACUGUGACACAAUCUACUCCUCUGGCCCCUCAAAUAUCCAUGGAUACCCUUGUGACACAUAGAACACACCCUGUUUGAAGAGAGAAAACCCAGCAUUCUAAGCAGUUACUGCAUCCAGCUCAGCGUCCAUGAUCUAAAGAUGUAACAGUCCCUUACAAGUCUGAUAUAACUCCUCAUGGUCCAAUGACCUACAGAGUAAAUUAUGUUAUUUAUUCCCCUUUCUCUUCCCCACACAGCCAGUAUGCAGUGGUGAAGUAGGGCACGAAAACUAAUUUGGAAGAAGAGUGAGGACAAAAUAGUAGUUCUUUGUCUAAGCGAAUGUGAAGAGCAGAUUAGACUACAAAGGUGAUGCUGACGCUGCUGGUCCAGGCAGCAAACUUUGAGAUUUAUUGUUCUGGUGGAACCCACACCCAAUAUCCUGGCCCUCAAUAAACAUGCCUCUAGAGCCCCAGAAUCUGUGAUUGUUCUCAGCUGCCUUCACCCAUUCCGGAUUGCACACUGAAUCCAAAACUAAAACUUAGCUCAGUGUUGAAGCUAUCAUUGCUGAAUAUAAAGAAGUUUGGAACAUAACCAGAAACCAUGGGAAGAGCUAGGAAAUACAGGAUAUUCAACAGCACCUGAUAGAAUCUGUUGGACCCUCAAAAUCUAAAUUCUAGAACCUGAAUAAAAACUUCUCUUUGCGAUAGUCUAUGAUUUUCAGAAAUUACAACUAAAACCUUUAACAUUUUUUUUUGAAAUCUACAUCACAUUAA